CCUACGGGUGGCAGCAGUGGGGAAUAUUGCACAAUGGGGGGAACCCUGAUGCAGCAAUGCCGCGUGGGUGAAGAAGCACUCCGGUGCGUAAAGCCCUGUCAGCAGGGAAGAAAAUGACAGUACCUGACCAAGAAGCCCCGGCUAACUACGUGCCAGCAGCCGCGGUAAUACGUAGGGGGCCAGCGUUAUCCGGAUUUACUGGGUGGAAAGGGAGCGCAGGCGGUUUGGCAAGGCAGAUUUGAAAACCCAGGGUCCAACCCCGGGACCGCCUUUGAAACUGCCAUACGGGAGUGGCGGAGAGGUAAGUGGAAUUUCCUGUGUAGCGGUGAAAUGCGUAGAUAUUAGGAGGAACACCAGUGGCGAAGGCGGCUUACUGGACGGUAACUGACGCUGAGGCUCGAAAGCGUGGGGAGCAAACAGGAUUAGAUACCCUGGUAGUC
Molecule: ribosomal RNA, 440 nt
Filed under: uncultured bacterium
Lineage: Bacteria
Description: partial 16S ribosomal RNA
Rfam family: Bacterial small subunit ribosomal RNA
Source: RNAcentral